ACCGCGGCUGCCUGGAGGCCGUGGCCUCCGACGCGGCGAUCACCGCCCGGGUCCGUGAGGUGACCGGCGUCCCGGUCGCCGACGCGGCG
This 89-nucleotide transfer RNA is filed under the name Streptomyces werraensis. RNAcentral describes it as "tRNA-Arg". RNAcentral also lists the same sequence under 1 other name. The record is from RNAcentral. Lineage: Bacteria; Bacillati; Actinomycetota; Actinomycetes; Kitasatosporales; Streptomycetaceae.